GAUUUGAUGUUCGUUGAAUAGGUAGUAGUAGUUUCGGCUUGACAAAUUUACGGGAAAUUAUGGAACUAACCACAAAUAGGGAUUAGUAUGGUUUUAUGGAGAUAAUAUGUUGAUGAGGUUUUUUGGCUUGGUAAAAAUAUGGUUUCCAUUAUAGUAGACGAUACGCGAAAGCGAAAAGAACAAAGAUAGGUUCAGUGAUUUUGAGUAAAGCAACAUUAAGGAACUUCUUGUUGCUGAUUGUUGGAAAUGUUUUGCAACAUACAGUAACAGAAGGUGAGAAGAGGCGGCGAAAGACUGUUGCUUCAAUGGGAACUAGAAUAGGAAGAAUACUGUAUUGCCAUUACUUCGUAUUAUGGUCGAAUUUGAACACGUGAAUUAUUUAAACUUUUAAUGUGAAACUGAAUUACAGAAUGUUUUACAAAAGAUCCUACUGCCAAUACGACCGAAAUCUCAGACCACCCUAUCGCAAA
RNAcentral lists this unclassified non-coding RNA (470 nucleotides) under Bombus terrestris (buff-tailed bumblebee). RNAcentral's name for it is "misc RNA ENSBTSG00005033162.1". Lineage: Eukaryota; Metazoa; Arthropoda; Insecta; Hymenoptera; Apidae. The record is from RNAcentral.